This 464-nucleotide ribosomal RNA is filed under the name Vreelandella stevensii. RNAcentral's name for it is "partial 16S ribosomal RNA". It matches the Rfam family "Bacterial small subunit ribosomal RNA", at positions 338 to 795 of the family's 1533-position model. The record is from RNAcentral. Lineage: Bacteria; Pseudomonadati; Pseudomonadota; Gammaproteobacteria; Oceanospirillales; Halomonadaceae.
CCUACGGGGGGCAGCAGUGGGGAAUAUUGGACAAUGGGCGAAAGCCUGAUCCAGCCAUGCCGCGUGUGUGAAGAAGGCCUUCGGGUUGUAAAGCACUUUCAGUGGGGAAGAAAGCCUUGGGGCUAAUACCCUCGAGGAAGGACAUCACCCACAGAAGAAGCACCGGCUAACUCCGUGCCAGCAGCCGCGGUAAUACGGAGGGUGCGAGCGUUAAUCGGAAUUACUGGGCGUAAAGCGCGCGUAGGCGGUCUGAUAAGCCGGUUGUGAAAGCCCCGGGCUAAACCUGGGAACGGCAUCCGGACGUGUAGGCAUGAGGUGAGGGGAGGAAGGGGGAAUUCCCGGGGUGGCGGGGAAAUGGGGUAGGGUGCGGAGGAACUCCGAGGGGCAAAGGGGGCCUCCGGAACGAACAUGAACGCGGGGGUCGAAAACCGUGGGUGGAAACAGGAUUUGAGACCCCGGUAGUC